RNAcentral lists this long non-coding RNA (215 nucleotides) under Lathyrus oleraceus (garden pea). RNAcentral's name for it is "Pisum sativum (pea) long non-coding RNA (PSAT_LNC012876)". The record is from RNAcentral. Lineage: Eukaryota; Viridiplantae; Streptophyta; Magnoliopsida; Fabales; Fabaceae.
AACCUUCUAAAAGCUCUCAAGUAUUAUUUAAUACUCUCAAGUUAGUUCUUGGGGACAGGAGUAAGUCACAUCAAUAAGACCGAAUCUCUAAAUUCUCUAGUGUUAUCUCUCUUCCUUUGACUCUUUUGCUUUCCACUUGUUUUCUUUAUCUUUAUUUUUUUACUGCAUAUCCAAAUUCCUGUUAGAAAAAAAAUAUUAAAAUUCCGAUCUAAAAA